UAUUAAGAACUAUCGGGCCACAUGUU
Molecule: unclassified non-coding RNA, 26 nt
Filed under: Mus musculus (house mouse)
Lineage: Eukaryota; Metazoa; Chordata; Mammalia; Rodentia; Muridae
Description: piRNA piR-mmu-68054913
Source: RNAcentral